This 304-nucleotide ribosomal RNA is filed under the name Aspergillus niger. Its description in RNAcentral is "partial 18S ribosomal RNA". The stretch from base 1 to 270 matches the Rfam family "Eukaryotic large subunit ribosomal RNA", at positions 376 to 664 of the family's 3401-position model. Lineage: Eukaryota; Fungi; Ascomycota; Eurotiomycetes; Eurotiales; Aspergillaceae. The record is from RNAcentral.
UUGAAAAGAGAGUUAAACAGCACGUGAAAUUGUUGAAAGGGAAGCGCUUGCGACCAGACUCGCCCGCGGGGUUCAGCCGGCAUUCGUGCCGGUGUACUUCCCCGUGGGCGGGCCAGCGUCGGUUUGGGCGGCCGGUCAAAGGCCCCUGGAAUGUAGUGCCCUCCGGGGCACCUUAUAGCCAGGGGUGCAAUGCGGCCAGCCUGGACCGAGGAACGCGCUUCGGCACGGACGCUGGCAUAAUGGUCGUAAACGACCCGUCUUGAAACACGGAACCAAGACACGGGUCGUUUACGACCUUUAUGCC